RNAcentral lists this ribosomal RNA (229 nucleotides) under uncultured bacterium. RNAcentral describes it as "partial 16S ribosomal RNA". It matches the Rfam family "Bacterial small subunit ribosomal RNA", at positions 568 to 796 of the family's 1533-position model. The record is from RNAcentral.
UCCGCAGGCGGGCAAUUAAGUCAGAGGUGAAAUCCUGCAGCUCAACUGUAGAAUUGCCUUUGAUACUGGUUAUCUUGAGUCAUUAUGAAGUGGUUAGAAUGUGUAGUGUAGCGGUGAAAUGCAUAGAUAUUACACAGAAUACCGAUUGCGAAGGCAGAUCACUAAUAAUGUACUGACACUGAGGGACGAAAGCGUGGGGAGCGAACAGGAUUAGAUACCCUGGUAGUCC